RNAcentral lists this ribosomal RNA (468 nucleotides) under uncultured bacterium. RNAcentral describes it as "partial 16S ribosomal RNA". It matches the Rfam family "Bacterial small subunit ribosomal RNA", at positions 36 to 507 of the family's 1533-position model. The record is from RNAcentral.
UCCUCCCUCUUUCUUCGUGCUUAACACAUGCAAGUCGAACGGAAAGGCCCUGCUUUUGUGGGGUGCUCGAGUGGCGAACGGGUGAGUAACACGUGAGUAACCUGCCCUUGACUUUGGGAUAACGUCAGGAAACUGGGGCUAAUACCGGAUAGGAGCUCCUGCUGCAUGGUGGGGGUUGGAAAGUUUCGGCGGUUGGGGAUGGACUCGCGGCUUAUCAGCUUGGUGGUGGGGUAGUGGCUUACCAAGGCUUUGACGGGUAGCCGGCCUGAGAGGGUGACCGGCCACAUUGGGACUGAGAUACGGCCCAGACUCCUACGGGAGGCAGCAGUGGGGAAUAUUGCACAAUGGGCGGAAGCCUGAUGCAGCAACGCCGCGUGCGGGAUGACGGCCUUCGGGUUGUAAACCGCUUUCGCCUGUGACGAAGCGUGAGUGACGGUAAUGGGUAAAGAAGCACCGGCUAACUACGUG